RNAcentral lists this ribosomal RNA (458 nucleotides) under uncultured bacterium. RNAcentral describes it as "partial 16S ribosomal RNA". It matches the Rfam family "Bacterial small subunit ribosomal RNA", at positions 28 to 507 of the family's 1533-position model. The record is from RNAcentral.
GACGAACGCUGGCGGCGUGCUUCAUACAUGCAAGUCGAACGAGAAGCUGACUUCGGUCAGUGGAAAGUGGCGGACGGGUGAGUAAUAUGUAGGAAAUCUGCCUUUAGGAGGGGGACAACAGAGGGAAACUUCUGCUAAUACCCCAUAUGAGCGUAGCUGAAAUGCUAUUCUUGAAAACUCCGGUGCCUAAAGAUGAGCCUGCAUCUGAUUAGCUAGUUGGUAGUGUAAUGGACUACCAAGGCGACGAUCAGUAGCUGGUUUGAGAGGAUGAUCAGCCACAAUGGGACUGAGACACGGCACAUACUCCUACGGGAGGCAGCAGUAGGGAAUUUUGAGCAAUGGGCGAAAGCCUGACGCAGCAACGCCGCGUGAACGAUUAAGCCCUUCGGGGUGUAAAGUUCUGUCAGUGGGGACGAAACUUGACGGUACCCACAGAGGAAGCACCGGCUAACUCCGUG